CCUACGGGAGGCAGCAGUAGGGAAUCUUCCGCAAUGGACGAAAGUCUGACGGAGCAAUGCCGCGUGAGUGACGAAGGUUUUCGGAUCGUAAAACUCUGUUGUAAGGGAAGAACAAGUACCAAGUAACUACUGGUACCUUGACGGUACCUUACCAGAAAGCCACGGCUAACUACGUGCCAGCAGCCGCGGUAAUACGUAGGUGGCAAGCGUUGUCCGGAAUUAUUGGGCGUAAAGCGCGCGCAGGCGGUCCCUUAAGUCUGAUGUGAAAGCCCACGGCUCAACCGUGGAGGGUCAUUGGAAACUGGGGGACUUGAGUGCAGAAGAGGAAAGUGGAAUUCCAUGUGUAGCGGUGAAAUGCGUAGAGAUGUGGAGGAACACCAGUGGCGAAGGCGACUUUCUGGUCUGUAACUGACGCUGAGGCGCGAAAGCGUGGGGAGCAAACAGGAUUAGAUACCCUGGUAGUCCACGCCGUAAACGAUGAGUGCUAAGUGUUAGGGGGGUUUCCGCCCCUUAGUGCUGCAGCUAACGCAUUAAGCACUCCGCCUGGGGAGUACGGCCNCAAGGCUGAAACUCAAAUGAAUUGACGGGG
This 589-nucleotide ribosomal RNA is filed under the name uncultured Planococcus sp. Its description in RNAcentral is "bacterial SSU rRNA". It matches the Rfam family "Bacterial small subunit ribosomal RNA", at positions 338 to 918 of the family's 1533-position model. Lineage: Bacteria; Bacillati; Bacillota; Bacilli; Caryophanales; Caryophanaceae. The record is from RNAcentral.